RNAcentral lists this long non-coding RNA (3111 nucleotides) under Sarcophilus harrisii (Tasmanian devil). Its description in RNAcentral is "lncRNA (ENSSHAG00000029955.1)". Lineage: Eukaryota; Metazoa; Chordata; Mammalia; Dasyuromorphia; Dasyuridae. The record is from RNAcentral.
GUAGUACUUCAACUCAACCCAGUGAAAAAUAACCCUGAAUUAGCCUCACACUUAAUCUUAGCAUAUCAGUGGCAGGAUCUGUUUUGCUUUCACCAGAUAUUUUUUUUUUUGGCUUUUAGUUUUUUUUUAGGGUUGGUUUUUUGGGGCGGAGUGGGGAGGCCAUAGGUUGCUGAGAUGAGGGAAAGGAGCGGACAGAGAGAGCACAGUUAUGUACCGCAAAAUUAACAUAGGUGUUCGUUUGGAAUGUGGACUUCUUUCAGAAUUUUCCUGUAAAAUUUAAUUUGGUCAUGUAAAUUUACAUAAAGCAAGAACUGUAUCUCUAAUGGCUUCCUUUCAGAUCUUCCCUUAUGGAAGACUCACUUUAGGUUGGAGAAGGGGGAAGACCAGUAGGUCUUGGGACUGAUUCAGGUCUGGCUAAUAUUGCUUUUGGGGACCUUAACCCUAUCCUGCUUCAGAUCAUUCUCCUCCCUAUCCAUCCCUCUCUCUAGCUUGCAUCUUGGCCAGCUCUGGUAUUUGCUUUUUUUGCUGAGCUUCUGUCUCCCUGUUAACAGCUAGACCCGUUCCAGAUCUUAACUUCUUCACCCUCUGGAAAUUUUUCCUGAGUGACCCCACCUUACUCUACUCAUUUUUCAUGUUAGGGCUUGGCUACUUCUUGAAUUGUAGCCACAUAAAACACCCAGGAUGCACUUGCUUUCAGCAGUUUGUAAGGCCAUUGCCCAAGCUCUCCUUCACUGGUACCUGGAUAGCCUUUGUCAGAUCAUUAAACACCUGGAAAAAGCUAGAAAACAAGUAAAGAAACUUAUCCCUGAAAUGGAAGGCACCAUUGCCUCAAGAGCACCCAGGAAUGAAUGUUAAAAUGGUUUCACUUCUAGGUAUAGCAUCGCCCAAGUCACUAGCUCCUUUCUGUACCUCAGAGUUUAUAAAAUGAGAGGGCUGGACUUGUAUAUCCCUUAAAGACUUCUAGCUCAAAAUACUAUCACUUUUCUGAAAUUUAUCAUUAUCACAAUUAUAGCCAACAUUUCUAUAAAAUGGGAACAUAAAGAUCAUUCUCAGAUCUGUACAGUGAAUAGAUGAACAUUUAAGUACUUCCUAUGUGUAAAUCACUAUGCCUAAUGCUUCCUAGACAAAUAGAAUAGUAAACUGGUUCUUACUUUCAGGAAAAUCACAUUUUACCAGGGGACAACAUCUGUGACAUAUAUAACACAUUAACACAGAACAACUUUAUCCAGGAUUUCUGUCCUGAAAUUUUCUAGUCCUAAAUUAUCAACUGCUUAUUGAAAAAUGCAAACUGAAUGUCAAUCCAUAAACAUCUUUUAAGUGCCACCUGCAUGCCCGAGGCAGGGAGGUGGCCCAGUGGCUGGAGCCACCAGACCUGGAGGGGAGUCUGGUCUCAGACAUUGCCCAGCUCUUAAACAAGUCACUUAACCCCGCCUGCCUCAGUUUCCUCAUCUGUACAAUGAACUGAAGAAGGAAAUGGCAAACUCCUCCGGUGUCUCUACCAAGAAAACCCCAUGUGGGUCCCAAACAGACACACCGGAAUCACAACAGUAAAGCAUCCAUAACCGUGCUAAAGGCUAGGGACACAAAGAAAGGCAAGGAGCUCCCGUUCAGACACAGGAGACCACAUGUAACACCAUGCACAAACCAGCUGGAGACGGGUUAAAAUGGAGAUAACCAACAGAAGGAAGUCACUAGAAUGGCAGGGGAUGCCCAUGAGCACUCAAACUCAACAACUCAUAGUUUUGCCCCUGCCCCCAGCCCACCCUCUUGUCAACGUUCCUCCAAUGGUUCUGGGCACCAGCAUCUUCCCGGUCCCUGGGGUUUACAAGCUGGGUGUCAGCAGCUCUUCACCCACACUUAUUCCACAUAUCCAACCAGCUGCUAAAUUUGUCAUCUCUAUCUUUGCGAGGGGCACUUGGUUCUGUCUCUCGACAUAUAGCUGACGAAGGCCCUCAUCACUUCUUGCCUGGUGUUCCUCAUUCCAACACAUCCUUCCCUCAGCUGUCAAAGUGAUGUUACUAAAGCACAGUAGGUACCAUCUCUGUGUGUGUGUCUGUCCCCCUCUCACUCUAUUUCUCUCCCUCUGUUUCUCUCGCUCCUUCAUACACACACCCCUUUUUGGACCAAAAAAACAAACAAACCUCUACUGGGUUUCCUAUUAUCUGCAAGAAUCAAAUGUAAACUCUUUUGUUAGAAAUGGAAAGCUCUUUCCAUCCUGGCCCCUUACUUCCCCAAACCUUACACCCAUUCUCCAAUUCAACUCUAUUGGUCUGUUUUCUUUUUUUGUUUGUUUGUUUGCCCCCCCCCCCAAAAAAAAAUGAUACUAAUGUUGUAUCAACCCAACUCUCCGGCUUUUGUGCAUUUGCAGUUUUCCAUGUGCCUUCCUCAUUUCUUCCUCUUAGAAUAAAUACCUGACCUCCUUCAAGACUCAGUUCAAAUGCCACCUUCUGCUACAGCCUUCUGCAAACCUCUUCAGUUGCUAGCAUCUUCCCGCUAAGAUUACCUUCCAUUUAUCCCCUAUAUGUCUUGUAUCUUUCUACCUGUUGAAAGUACAUUAGAAUAUAAGAUCCUUGAGGACAGGAACUACUUUUCUUUUUUUUUUUUUUCUUGUUCCUAAUGACAAAGUACCUGAGAAUGAGUCCUUGGUAAAUGCUUGUUGAUUGAUGAGCAUAUUAGAAUUGAUUUCUAGGUACCAGACAAUACAACCAUUCUUGAGAUUUCUUGGUCACCAGGUGCAAAUAUCUGUUUUCUCCUCUGGAUUAGAUUGUAAAUGUCUUGAGGACAGAGACUCUCCAGAUUUUGAAAUUGCAUCCCCAGAGUUUAGUAAGGUGCCAACACUCAAUAAAUGCUUUUUGUUUGUUCAUUCAAAAGACUUCCUUCCUUUCUCCCCUUUCCCCCAUCCCCCUCUGCAAUUUUCCUCCCCCUCAACGAGCACAUAACACACCGUAAAAGUAAUCACUCCCUCUUCAAAUUUUCUCCUGGUAUUUUGGCUCUUUUCCCUAGAUCCCAUUCAACUUUGCACUAAUAACUAUUUGCCCCUUCUCCUGACAGCCCCUCCUCUCAUUACACUGCAAGCUUCCCUAUAUAUUCAUUUUUGUAGAAUAAGGCACA